UUCGUCCCCACCAGUGCGUCGGUGCAGGACGCAUCUCCGGCACGUUCGUCCUCAUCGCCCCAAGUGAGAUCAGGUCCUCCUAGCGUCCCUCACCAUUUCCUCCAAUUUUUACAUGUCUCCCCCGUUCAAUCCCUUUCCAGAUUCAUUUAUUAUGUAUAUGGUUAUUUCAGGCGUGUUAACUUUUUUUAGGAUUAGGAAUAGGCAAGUAACUACGAGUUGAAGAGGUCUGGAACUUGCAUGUUGAGGGUGUACAUCCGCACCCCGCAGGCUUAGUUUAUUUGAUUAUCGCAGUCAUGGUACUCAUUCUUUGGCAUUAUGCUUUGACUUGACAACAUGAAGUAUUACAAUGGUUGUCUCUUCCUUAAGGCUGAGGUGAUUCUGUGCAGAAGUGACCAUUCUUUUGCUGAAACUCUCAGUAUAUGUAUUUUACCCAUCUUGCAUUUUUUCAUGUGUCUUGGCUCUGUGCAAUAGAAUUUGGUUAUUUUGUCCAAUAUUUACUUCAGUCUAGGGUGCCUCGUACCAUCAAUCCUGCUUCUUCAGGUUUCUUUAUGGUGAUAAAGCUCGAUUUUUAACGAAGAGAUCCGUCCAGAAUUGAGGCACUCAAAUACAGCAGUUGCUCAGGUGUACAUCUCUAGUGGCGCAAUGCAAGGAUCCACACCAGAACGUUGUAAGGCCACCGGAGUGAGACAUUUCUAGACUUCCACAACAUGGAGUUAUCAAAAACAAUGGCUAUGCAGCUUGCAGGUUCACACAUGAUAGACUCCCAAGAUAAUGAUUUUGUGACUCGGUUAUGUCGGAUGAUUUUUCAUGUACUACAGUUUAUAGGAAAUAUUUGUUGAACCACCGCUGAAGGGGAAGCAAAUUUAUGUGCGUGAUGAUGGAUUUUUACUCAGACGUGUCAAUGGAUACUGAUUACUUCGAUUCAACAAUAGGCCUCAAAUAUAUUUGUGAAAACUUGGAGUAAUGGUAUGCAAUCUAGCAUGGUUACAAAGUAUCUUAGUUCCUGGUCCAAUGUUCCCAAGCUCAAUGCUUAAAUUUUGAUUGAUGUGAGUGACUGAAUUCUUUUCGUCAUACAUAAUGAAUCUGGAGUUCUUGAAAUGUGGUGGAAUAUUAUUUGUAGUUCUAUCAAUGUAGUUUAAUACAGCUCAAUUGGACAUGGGAAUUCAGAUGGACAAGGCCAUUUUUACUUGCAAAUUUCUGAAAGCUUUCGUUUCUACUAUGGCAUUGUUCUUACUUGUGCCUAAGCUGUUUGAUUUCUAUUGCAGUGGCAAGUCUUUCAGCUGUCCCAUGUUACUGAUAUUCUGGUAGAGAUGGAAUGGAUCGAGUAGGUUGCUUGCCCUCACAAUGAACGUGCAUAGUUCAUCUAAUUGCUUCACUAUGAACCAGGUUUCCUUGGCACAUGUUGAUUCAUUAUUUUCUCAGCUGCUCAUCUACUUUCACUUAGAAUUGGUUUCAGUUUAUGUUUAAACCUGCUCUUUUUUCCUAGCUUUUUUUACUUCUGAACUAUUGACCGUUCCACCUAUUGCACUUGACAUUCUUCAUUUGUUCUUUCAAACUGUUUUUGUUUUUAAUUUCUAAGCUGCUGAUGGAUUUAUUAUUUUGAUUAUUAACACUAAUAAAUUUCUCUUACCAUUCUACCUUUUUCUGAAUGGCUCUUGGUCACGCCGUUGUAUGCUCCUGGCCACAAGGCCGGUCGCUGGCUAUCCAGCCUGCUAACUAACAAGAGGAAUGACAAGAGGCAGACGUGAAGGGAGACGUGUGAGGUUACCUUGGCUGCCAUCUCGUUUCUCAGCUGCUCUCCUCUUCUACAUGUUAGCGGUGGUGACUUGGGCGACCGGCACCGAGGAGCACGAUGACUUGAUGGCAGUGUGGCAUGGUGGCCACGAGUUUCACCUUAUCGAUCAUUAACCAAUACAUGUGGUGCAAGAGGAAAAGGCAGAAACAUCCGGUCAGCGGAAAUUGAUGAUCACAUUGUUUCUCUUUUGGCAGGAUAUGUAAAUUCCUGUCUAAGCUUUAUCCUUUUUACACCAUAAGGAAUAGAUGAUGAUAAAUGUUGUGAUAUCCAAAGCUAG
Molecule: long non-coding RNA, 2072 nt
Organism: Lolium rigidum
Lineage: Eukaryota; Viridiplantae; Streptophyta; Magnoliopsida; Poales; Poaceae
Exons: 4
Source: RefSeq, a predicted model, not a curated record